This 311-nucleotide long non-coding RNA is filed under the name Mytilus galloprovincialis (Mediterranean mussel). Lineage: Eukaryota; Metazoa; Mollusca; Bivalvia; Mytilida; Mytilidae. The record is from RNAcentral.
UGUGUUUAUGUUAUUUUUGUUAUAUUCUGUUACUUCUUUUCAUGUUCUGUUUUUUUUAUGGUACUAGUUUGUUUCUUCAAGUAUGUUUUUUUUACCUACUGAUCCAGAUUUAAAAGAGGAGGGUUUGAGAAUGCAAAUACUAGCUUACCCAUGUUAUAUUUGUGACUUUCCAAGUCAUGCACAUUGUCAGAAAUUUUAUUUUGUUGUAUCUUAUUUUAUUCUAUUUGUUUUUUAGGGAAUUGAGUGUUAAUGGCAGAUCUAUAAUUUUUUUUGAUAAAUGGAAGUUUAUGCACAACUUUUAUUAACUCAAG